AUCUUCUUCCCAGCCUCCCGUCCCCUGUGCACAGUGCCUCCUUCCCGACCGCCCUCCCCGGCGCGACCCCGCCCGGCAGCCCCUCUCCAGCUCCGGCGCCCCCCCCUCCUCGGCUCUACCCCGCCCGGCGCACACCCCUCGGCGCUCAGCAGCUGGUGCCUGGUGCUUCUCAUCCCCACCUCACUCGUGCUCCGCGCCCGUUUCACCGCCUGAACAGAGAUGGAGGCCUUCCUCGCCGGUCUCUUCAGGGCGCCUCCACGCGCCGUCCCCGGCCCUCGGGGCACGCCUCUCUCCGGCCUUCCUCUCUUUCACGGCAGGCGCCGCAGGCGGCCGUCCUCGUCCGUGGUCUGCAUGGCGGAGCCCUAUCUGAUUGCCAAGCUGGAUUCUGCGGAGAAGGCCUGGAAAGAAAUGUCGGUUAGGUUGGCAGAUCCGGACAUUGUCUCAGAUCCAAGCGAAUACCAAAAACUCGCGCAGUCUGUUUCUGAACUGGAUCAGGUCGUGACCACAUACAGGCAAUUCAAGGAUUGUGAGAGGCAGCUUGAAGAGACAAAAGCUCUGGAAAAAGAGAACGAAGAUGACCCUGAUAUGUCAGAGAUGAUAACUUCUGAGCUGGAGGCUCUAUCUAACCAGCUUGCAGAGCUUGAAGAAAAAUUGAAGUUACUACUGCUUCCCAGUGAUCCUCUAGAUUCACGCAACAUCUUACUUGAAGUAAGAGCAGGUGCUGGUGGUGACGAAGCUGGAAUUUGGGCUGGUGACCUUGUACGCAUGUAUCAGAAAUACUGUGAGCGCAACAAUUGGAAGUUUAAGCCAGUUUCUUGCUCAGAAGCAGACAUGGGUGGAUACAAGACAUAUGUGAUGGAGGUGAAGGGGAAACAAGUCUAUAGUAAAUUGAAGUUUGAGUCAGGUGUACACCGUGUUCAGCGUGUUCCCCUGACAGAGACUAUGGGUCGUGUUCAUACGUCAACAGCAACUGUAGCUAUUAUGCCAGAGGCUGAUGAAGUUGAUGUGGUUAUUGAUCCAAAAGAUAUUGAGCUUAAAACAGCACGAUCUGGUGGAGCUGGAGGGCAGAAUGUUAACAAGGUGGAGACGGCUGUUGAUCUUAUUCACAAGCCUACAGGAAUAAGGAUAUUCUGUACUGAAGAGAGAUCACAGCUACAGAACAAAGAGCGGGCAUUUCAAUUGUUGAGAGCAAAACUUUACGAGAUAAAAUUAAGGGAGCAACAAGAGUCAAUAAGAAACCAGAGGAAAAUGCAGUGUUACUAAUACCUGUGCAACUGAAGGUUGGUACUGGUGCUCGAUCUGAGAAGAUAAGGACAUACAAUUACAAGGAUAACAGAGUGACAGACCAUCGAUUAAAGAUGAACUAUGAACUGACCGGCUUCCUUUUAGGAGACAUCGAAUCGGCUGUUCAGUCUUGUGCUACACUGGAGCAGCAGGAGCUCUUGGAGGAAAUGGCCAGUUCCGUGGGCGCAGUGAACGUAUGAUUCAGGCAAUUCGGCGUUGAGAUCAGGUCAUCAAAUAGAAUCAAGAAACUCAUGAUGUGUUCAAAACCGAUAAAGAUGAUUGAUAGUUGUACAAGAAACUGACAAAAUGAACUCCACAUAGGAAAUUUUUCUGUAGUCCACAUGGUCAUGAGUUCAUGACUAAUACCAUAGAACACACCCAUGCAUCUCAGCUUCCUUAACGACAUCAGAUUUUUGAGUAUUAGAAAAUAUACACGGUAUGUACAAUUCAACUGCUCCAGUAUUCACAGUUUAAUGCAUUUUAGGUUUGUUGUUCUGUGAAAUUCUUUUGUUCCCAAUGUGUAAUUCUUCAAGAAAAAAAUUGCAAAUACCCAUUUAUAAAGACGCUA
RNA transcript from Sorghum bicolor (sorghum), 1852 nucleotides. It is a transcript of the gene named peptide chain release factor APG3, chloroplastic, with no coding region annotated. The transcript is spliced from 15 exons. Lineage: Eukaryota; Viridiplantae; Streptophyta; Magnoliopsida; Poales; Poaceae. The record is from RefSeq and is a predicted model, not a curated record.